CUCCAGCCUCGUCCUGGCCGGCCCCUCCUCCCUGGCUCCUCCCUGUUGAAAGACGCUCCUAUAAGGGCCAGGCGGAGCCCCGAGCUGUGGCUGAGCCCAGAGGUCAGCACGGUGCAGCUACCCAAGACCAUGCGGCCGCAACACAGGUUCCUCUCGCUCACGGCGACCGCGCUCCUGCUCCUGGCCAUCGUGGUGGCAGAUGAGCCUGCGACCUCCCCCCAUCCCGUGGCCCCGUCAGGCAGCCAGGCGCCAGAGACCCUGGCAAGUGCCGCUGAGCCCCUCAUCUCCGGCAGAUCGGAGGCUUCGGGAGAAAGUGACACCUCAACUCCUGCGGAUCAGGUGACCACAGAGGUCACGCACGUGAGCUUUGCGGGGGCAGAUCGCUCCCACACGGACGACGGGAACGGAGAUCUCCUGCUGAACAGUGAUGGCUCUGGCCCCGGUGCCUUCAGCUUUGACCUGCUGCCUGGGGACACACCGAGCGGUCCUGCCGUGGACACGUCUGCUCACUCCCACGAGUCCCAAGAAAGUAAGUUGUGCCAGGGCUGGACUCGCCCUUCCCGCUCCCUACCAGUGCCGAGCCGCUGCCUUGAACCGGGUGGGGAGCCGCAGCAGGGUCCCCGGCUGUAG
This 630-nucleotide long non-coding RNA is filed under the name Salvator merianae (Argentine black and white tegu). RNAcentral describes it as "lncRNA (ENSSMRG00000009195.1)". Lineage: Eukaryota; Metazoa; Chordata; Lepidosauria; Squamata; Teiidae. The record is from RNAcentral.